CCUGAGACUAGAGUCACAUCCUGACACAGUUCUUGUCCUGAUAUGCUGGAGUUUUCAGGGCAAUCUGCUGGUCCUUUUUUUGUUUUAAGAUUUCAUUUAUGUAUUUGAGAGAAAGACAGAGCAUGA
This 126-nucleotide small nucleolar RNA is filed under the name Ursus maritimus (polar bear). RNAcentral describes it as "Small nucleolar RNA SNORA3/SNORA45 family (ENSUMAG00000007883.1)". The record is from RNAcentral. Lineage: Eukaryota; Metazoa; Chordata; Mammalia; Carnivora; Ursidae.